GGCCCGUUAGCUCGCUUGGUUAGAGCGUCGUGCUAAUAACGCGAAGGUCGAGGGUUCGAUUCCCCCACGGGCCA
This 74-nucleotide transfer RNA is filed under the name Stegodyphus dumicola. RNAcentral describes it as "tRNA-Ile". It matches the Rfam family "tRNA". Rfam says of the family: Transfer RNA (tRNA) molecules are approximately 80 nucleotides in length. Their secondary structure includes four short double-helical elements and three loops (D, anti-codon, and T loops). Further hydrogen bonds mediate the characteristic L-shaped molecular structure. tRNAs have two regions of fundamental functional importance: the anti-codon, which is responsible for specific mRNA codon recognition, and the 3' end, to which the tRNAs corresponding amino acid is attached (by aminoacyl-tRNA synthetases). tRNAs cope with the degeneracy of the genetic code in two manners: having more than one tRNA (with a specific anti-codon) for a particular amino acid; and 'wobble' base-pairing, i.e. permitting non-standard base-pairing at the 3rd anti-codon position. The record is from RNAcentral. Lineage: Eukaryota; Metazoa; Arthropoda; Arachnida; Araneae; Eresidae.